UACGUAGGGUGCAAGCGUUAAUCGGAAUUACUGGGCGUAAAGCGUGCGCAGGCGGUUAUGUAAGACAGAUGUGAAAUGCCCGGGCUUAACCUGGGAACUGCAUUUGUGACUGCAUGGCUAGAGUUUGGCAGAGGGGGGUAGAAUUCCACGUGUAGCAGUGAAAUGCGUAGAUAUGUGGAGGAAUACCGAUGGCGAAGGCAGCCCCCUGGGUCAAGACUGACGCUCAUGCACGAAAGCGUGGGGAGCAAACAGG
Molecule: ribosomal RNA, 253 nt
Filed under: uncultured bacterium
Lineage: Bacteria
Description: partial 16S ribosomal RNA
Rfam family: Bacterial small subunit ribosomal RNA
Source: RNAcentral